RNAcentral lists this microRNA precursor (103 nucleotides) under Marmota monax (woodchuck). Lineage: Eukaryota; Metazoa; Chordata; Mammalia; Rodentia; Sciuridae. The record is from RNAcentral.
AGUAGGAUUGCUGGGUCAUAUGGUAACUCCAUAUUUAACCAGUUGAGGAAUUUCCAGUCUGUUUUCCAAAGUGGUCACACCAUUUUACUUUCCCAUCAGCAAU